UACGGAGGGGACUAGCGUUGUUCGGAAUUACUGGGCGUAAAGAGCUCGUAGGCUGAUAAGCAAGUUAGAGGUGAAAUCCUGGGGCUUAACCCCAGAACUGCCUUUAAAACUGCUUGUCUAGAGACCGGAAGAGGUAAGGGGAAUACCUAGUGUAGAGGUGAAAUUCGUAGAUAUUAGGUGGAACACCAGUGGCGAAGGCGCCUUACUGGUCCGGUACUGACGCUGAGGAGCGAAAGCGUGGGGAGCAAACAGG
This 253-nucleotide ribosomal RNA is filed under the name uncultured bacterium. RNAcentral's name for it is "partial 16S ribosomal RNA". It matches the Rfam family "Bacterial small subunit ribosomal RNA", at positions 524 to 776 of the family's 1533-position model. The record is from RNAcentral.